RNAcentral lists this ribosomal RNA (482 nucleotides) under uncultured bacterium. RNAcentral's name for it is "partial 16S ribosomal RNA". It matches the Rfam family "Bacterial small subunit ribosomal RNA", at positions 28 to 507 of the family's 1533-position model. The record is from RNAcentral.
GAUGAACGCUAGCGGCAGGCCUAAUACAUGCAAGUCGGACGGGAUUCAGGAGCUUGCUUCUGAUGAGAGUGGCGCACGGGUGCGUAACACGUAUGUAACCUACCUUUAUCAGGGGGAUAGCCUCUCGAAAGAGAGAUUAAGCCCGCAUAAAAUCACAGCACAGCAUUGUGUAAUGAUCAAAUAUUUAUAGGAUAAAGAUGGGCAUGCGGAACAUUAGCUAGAUGGCGGGGUAACGGCCCACCAUGGCGACGAUGUUUAGGGGAUCUGAGAGGAUGGCCCCCCACACUGGUACUGAGACACGGAACAGACUCCUACGGGAGGCAGCAGUAAGGAAUAUUGGUCAAUGGGCGGAAGCCUGAACCAGCCAUGCCGCGUGCAGGAAGACGGCCCUACGGGUUGUAAACUGCUUUUAUACGGGAAUAAACCCAGAUACGUGUAUCUGGCUGAAUGUACUGUAAGAAUAAGGAUCGGCUAACUCCGUG